CCUACGGGAGGCUGCAGUAGGGAAUCUUCCACAAUGGACGAAAGUCUGAUGGAGCAACGCCGUGUGAGUGAAGAAGGGUUUCGGCUCGUAAAGCUCUGUUGGUAGUGAAGAAAGAUAGAGGUAGUAACUGGCCUUUAUUUGACGGUAAUUACUUAGAAAGUCACGGCUAACUACGUGCCAGCAGCCGCGGUAAUACGUAGGUGGCAAGCGUUGUCCGGAUUUAUUGGGCGUAAAGCGAGUGCAGGCGGUUCAAUAAGUCUGAUGUGAAAGCCUUCGGCUCAACCGGAGAAUUGCAUCAGAAACUGUUGAACUGGAGUGCAGAAGAGGAGAGUGGAACUCCAUGUGUAGCGGUGGAAUGCGUAGAUAUAUGGAAGAACACCAGUGGCGAAGGCGGCUCUCUGGUCUGCAACUGACGCUGAGGCUCGAAAGCAUGGGUAGCGAACAGGAUUAGAUACCCCAGUAGUC
RNAcentral lists this ribosomal RNA (465 nucleotides) under uncultured bacterium. RNAcentral describes it as "partial 16S ribosomal RNA". It matches the Rfam family "Bacterial small subunit ribosomal RNA", at positions 338 to 795 of the family's 1533-position model. The record is from RNAcentral.